Long non-coding RNA from Equus caballus (horse), 4461 nucleotides. NCBI's taxonomy places the organism in Eukaryota, Metazoa, Chordata, Mammalia, Perissodactyla, Equidae. The record is from Ensembl.
CUGGCCAAAUCAGGUUUAAAAAGUUUACUUUUCCUUCCCUUAGCAGUGGAACAUUUCCUCCAGCUGAAAUCCCGUAUAGAAGUCCAAUAUGUGAAACCAGUCAGAAGCAGGUGACAGAAACCAGGGUCACAGCCUCCAGGUGACCCUUCAGCUCCCACAGCAGACAGCCCUUCAAGAGAUUCUCAAGGCACUGGCUGAAGGGUCCACACAGAGAUCCUGGAGGCCCCCUCUGACUCUAGCACACCUUGAGUUUCUGCCUUCCAGACUCAUAGUCAAUCCUGUGGGUUAUUUUUCAUCUUGAAAUUGGGAUUCCACAUGAUUUUGUAGUCAGUUUUUUACAAAAUAACCCAUGGACAGGUAAAAAGUUUUAGCAGCCUCUUCUCCAUCGGCAAGUUCAUCUUGGUCAUCACCAACUCACCCCAAGCACGAUGAGAAGCCAUUGGCCUUAGUGUUUUUCCAGCUCAGACCAAGACCCGGCUUCUUGAAGCUCGGCUGAAACCCUGGUUCUGCCCCAUCCACGAUCAAUAUCCCAUUACUGCGUGUGGUCAGAAAGCCCCCAUGAGUCACUCAGAAACUACGCUCGAUCGUAGACAAAUUAAACUGUUACGACUUGUUCUAAUUACUUAAUAAAGCUUGUAGUACGCCUAAGAACCCAUGUGGAUGAAAGCAGCAUUACUCAUGUAGAACAUUAUUAUUACAGCAACAAUCGCCAUCGUGCCAAAAUUCCGGAGUCCCACCCUCAAGAAAAGAGUCCUGCCUCAUAGGAGCUGCUGGAGGCUGCUGUGCAAACAGACACCCCACCGGAUGAUGCAACAUCUGCCCGAACAGGGCGUUUGCUGUCAAGCGGGGCGAGAUUCAUAGUUCUGGCCGCAAUAGCCUGUCCCACUGACAGGACCCCGAGGCCGUUCCAGCGGGAGGAGAGCCAAGGAGGCUGCGCUCGUGGACUUGACGUGUCUCGCAGGCCUGCUCCUAGAAUUUCAUCCCUUGCCGUCCCCGCUUCUCUCCCCCUCCAGCCCAGCGUGAACUUCACUUGGGCCAAAAAAUCAGCUGCAUGAGAACAGGAUGGAGCAGGCAGCUGGAGACACGAGUCAAUAAAGCCCGCGAAGGAAACCUCAGGAUUUUCCUAACUGUGAACUUAGCGAGAAGCAACAGCAGGAGCUCCAGAAACUUCCUUAGGUGACAUGGAAUGAGAAACAGCUGGGAAGAGUGAAAAAAAAAGAAGAAAAAAAGGCUAUUCAUUCUUCGGGAUUUCCAAGAAGACAACAUGCAUGAUUUUAUCUUGAUGGCCCACCAAACUGGGUUCAUUUGCAAUACCAUCACUUAACCCAGGGCUGGGGUAGGACGAUGGGAGUGGCGGGCAAUGGGAGAUGAGUGUGCCUUCAUAGCUAAUUGCUGGACUCCCACUUAAGCAAACUCACCGAGUACUCAUAACUUGGAACCAGUUCAAGUCAUUCUGUGAUUUGCUAGACAUGUCCGCUAUUAUCCGUACUUUAAUGUGCGAAGGCAGCACAAGAGCCAAAAUGGCAAAGUGGUGCCAAGACUCAACCACCAUUAAUGAGCAUAUUAAGGGUCAGCAGGCUGCACAGUUCAGUUACAUCAUGCGGUAAUCAGUCAUGUCUAGAGUAACCCAAGGACUCCCUAAGACAACCCAUAAAGCCGUCCAAAGUUGACUGUUAUGAAGGUUAACCUGAGAGCGCUGAUUACAACCACGGAGUUGACACACAUAAUUAGGUUAGAAAAGCUCUCUAAGUGAAACUGAAGACAGAAUCUUAUAGAAACAGAUGUUUAUCCAACUAAUGCUGUUGGGUGAGUGCCAUGUGUCUGUAUCUGUGAGAUGCUCGUGUCAGGAACAGCCUUCGACUCUCUUGCCUAAUUGUAACUCAGAGGUGUCUGUGUAAUGAAAGACAAUCGCACUGCCCUAGGACCAAACAUGACGCGACAGGUCAUGCCUGCCCAGUGCUCUGUUCCUCACACCUCUUUUGCAGCCUGAGACUUCCACCGGGCGAGAGACAGACUGGAAUGUCCCACAGAAGGAAGCUGGCAAGAGCAGCGCCAUCACAGAGAAAAGAGAAGCAGCCAUCCCGAUAUCAGAGCAACAUGGCGGGCGCUCCAGAACGCCAACCAAAAUACCACUUUCUACUACACGAGUAGAGGAGGAGAAAGCCCCAGGGGACGGUCCUAGGCUGAGGAAAUGAGAUAAGCCAGAGGAGGCAAUGUUCAAGAGACUGAGCUAGUGGGCCCCCUUAUCUUCUCACACGGAAAGGAAAAAGGAAGGGAGCAGCAAGUGAUAACCAAGAUGGACCUCAGAGGGCAGCAUCUGUCCCCGCCCCCCAACACCACCGCCAGGGGUCUUCUUUCUGGGUGACAAGUGGGAGAAUCCCCAGCCACAAAUGAGCAGAAAGGAAACCCUAUCAGAAUUUCCACCCAAACAUCAGAGAGAAGGAGAAAAUGGGGGUGAUGAAGUUGUGGAAACCAGAGGUUAGAAGAGAUGAGAGAGCGAUGAAUGAGGGUAGGAAAGGUCCAGAAUGGUAAGUUGAUGCCGUGAUGAAAUCCAACAUGGCAUGCCCUCCCUGUGGAAGGAGUGGCUUCAGCAGGACAGAAAGGAGAAGGCAGCUGCGUAACAUCCAAGCAGCGGGGUCCUUUGCAGGCUCAGAAGCUGUCCCAAAGAACUGCCAGAAGUGGGCGGAGAGGUUGCCCUGGCUGUGCCGGAGACGUGGUCCUACUCAGCAGACUGAUCAACGCAGAGGACUCGGUGUGCAUCAGGCGCAUAAAGUCAGUUUUGCAAAUUAGCAUUUCAAAGCAUUUGUGUAGGAUUACACAUGCACAUGACACAGUGACAGAUAAAAUGACGGUCACAAAAGCAUCCUUGCCCUCAAGAGCAGGGAUUCUCAGCUCAGGUCUGUGAAACCUCUGAAGUUCCUUGCAAAAUGUAUGAGUAGAUUUUAGGGGGAGAGCAUAUACAGAGCUUUCAUGAGGUUUUGAAAGGAGUUUCUGACUCCAAAAAAUUUUUCCAACAGGUUAAGGAACACUGAUGUGGGGGCCAGAAUAUUAAUGGAUGAGCACAUGGCUAUGGCCGUUGAAUUGAUUGUACUUAGCCAGUGCGGCCAAUGAGAAUGACUUUCCCAGGCUUCAUCCAUUAUAACAUAGAUGCUUGUUGCAUACAUUAUCUCAUGCAACCUUAUGAGUGUUUACCAACAGCCCUGUCCCAGAGGGGUCAAUAACAAUCCCAAGGCCAUGACGUUGGCAAGAGGUAAAGCUGAGAUUCAAGCCUCAUUCCAGAGGCCACACGUUGAGGCUGGCAUCAAAUGGCUUCCCACCAGUCUGGCCACUGCUGACACAUGGCAUCAUGUGUACCUUACUUAGAGACCAGAUGGGAACAUACUCAGAGAAGAGUGGCUACAUGGUGUGAGAAUUCACAACCUCAUCUAUGCAAAGACCAGUCGGGUGCUCUUCCCAGACUCUUCUCUCCACAACUGCAGCCAGAGAUGCCCCUGCAGCCCCAUCCUGCCAGCUACCACAUCAUGAGACAUGAGGAUGCAGAGAAGGCUGCUCAAUCUUCAGCCCACUGGCCCCAGGGUGGUGCUGAUCCAGCCCUGCUCUCGCCAGCUCUGGCUCCAGCUCUUCCUAUGGCCAAGACAUCACUCUUACCACCUCUGGAAACUGGGUUCCCCACACACGUCUGCAACCUGAGUCCCUUGGUACUAGACUCUUUUCGAUUCUCUGCCUUGUGCCCAAAGCACCCACACAGACCUUGCUCCUGCCUGUCGGCUCACCUCCAGGAAACUUCAGCCUCUCCAUCUACUGGCAUAACUUCCCACCUGGUCCAGAGCCCUGGUAUGGACACACUCCUUCUCCAGUGACGACCUCACCAGAUAACCCUGCCCUCUGGACACAGCAUGUUUUCUUCCAGAAGGAAUUCCUCCCGGAGCCUCCAGCUGCGUCUGCUGGUUCCAACAGCACCUGCAGAAAAUAAAAGGUGAAUUUCUAAACUCCGCUCGGAGGUGAAGGAUAGCGAAUUCAAGGCGUCCAGCCCUGUAAGCUGCGGCCAGGAGAAGAACAGCAAGACAAGAGGAAUCUGAAUGGAAAGGUCCCACUGGAAAAAUCAAGACCAAGUUUAUGAACAAAUUGCACCAGGGUCUUCCACACCCACCCCCACUGCACAGUGGCUGUGCUGCCCCCUCCUCUCCACUGCUUGUCCUGACGAGGAUGUGCUCUCAGCCUCUCCCAGACUAUAAUGAUUGCAGGAAGCUGUUCGCUUUACACGGGCUGGUGGUGUGCAGUGCUUGCAAAGUGGGUUCCUUGAAGACCGGUUCUGGGGGACGGCAGCAGAAGUUAUGCAAAUAAAGGGCUCCGUUUUCAGGACAAGUUUGGAAAACAUGGUAAGGGAUUUAAUCAAACAGGUUUGUUUCUUACCUGACUUCCCAGAGUGUGCUAAGGAGCACAGUACCUCUUGUGAGAUGG